AUUUGGAUGAUAAAGAUGAGAAGUCAAUAGAGGGCUUGAUUGUGAACAUUUGCAAGCUGAUUUGAGAGUAAAGUCCUCAAGGUGGAGCAGCCAAGAGGAUCAAUUUUGGCCAAUAAGGAUGAUUGAAAUUAUACUGACCUAUGCUUAACGAGUUUUUUUGCCAAGGGUGAUUUGAUACGGAACAUAGGUGAGAAAGAGGGAUUUUGAAAGAAGAUGUGAAGGAUAUGAUAGCAAAACAAGGCAGCGGGCUUCAUUUAAAGCAUAGUGAACUUUACCAA
Molecule: long non-coding RNA, 278 nt
Filed under: Elaeis guineensis (African oil palm)
Lineage: Eukaryota; Viridiplantae; Streptophyta; Magnoliopsida; Arecales; Arecaceae
Description: long non-coding RNA (EGUI_LNC022727)
Source: RNAcentral